CCUUUCGGGGGUACUCGAGCGGCGAACGGGUGAGUAACACGUGAGUAAUCUGCCCUGCGCUCUGGGAUAGCCACCGGAAACGGUGAUUAAUACCGGAUAGGACCACUUCACGCAUGUGAUGGUGGUGGAAAGUUUUUUCGGCGCAGGAUGUGCUCGCGGCCUAUCAGCUUGUUGGUGAGGUAACGGCUCACCAAGGCUUUGACGGGUAACCGGCCUGAGAGGGUGACCGGUCACACUGGGACUGAGACACGGCCCAGACUCCUACGGGAGGCAGCAGUGGGGAAUAUUGGACAAUGGGCGGAAGCCUGAUCCAGCAACGCCGCGUGAGGGAUGACGGCCUUCGGGUUGUAAACCUCUUUCAGUACCGACGAAGCGAAAGUGACGGUAGGUACAGAAGAAGGACCGGCCAACUACGUGCCAGCAGCCGCGGUAAUACGUAGGGUCCGAGCGUUGUCCGGAAUUAUUGGGCGUAAAGGGCUCGUAGGCGGUUUGUCGCGUCGGGAGUGAAAACACCGGGCUUAACUCGGUGCUUGCUUUCGAUACGGGCAGACUAGAGGUAUGCAGGGGAGAAUGGAAUUCCUGGUGUAGCGGUGAAAUGCCUAGAUAUCAGGAGGAACACGGUGGCGAAGGCG
RNAcentral lists this ribosomal RNA (632 nucleotides) under uncultured Actinomycetes bacterium. Its description in RNAcentral is "bacterial SSU rRNA". It matches the Rfam family "Bacterial small subunit ribosomal RNA", at positions 77 to 723 of the family's 1533-position model. The record is from RNAcentral. Lineage: Bacteria; Bacillati; Actinomycetota; Actinomycetes.